UACAGAGGUCCCAAGCGUUGUUCGGAUUCACUGGGCGUAAAGGGUGCGUAGGCGGUCGGGUAAGUCUGACGUGAAAUCUCCAAGCCUAACUUGGAAACUGCGUUGGAUACUAUCCGGCUCGAGGAAUGGAGGGGAGACUGGAAUACUUGGUGUAGCAGUGAAAUGCGUAGAUAUCAAGUGGAACACCAGUGGCGAAGGCGAGUCUCUGGACAUUUCCUGACGCUGAGGCACGAAAGCCAGGGGAGCAAACGGG
This 253-nucleotide ribosomal RNA is filed under the name uncultured bacterium. RNAcentral's name for it is "partial 16S ribosomal RNA". It matches the Rfam family "Bacterial small subunit ribosomal RNA", at positions 524 to 776 of the family's 1533-position model. The record is from RNAcentral.